GACUUCUGGUUUAAUGCACCUGGCCCGCGGCCGCAAGGCCUGUGAGUGCCGGCGCGCGUUUACCAUCCUUCCAGGUAACGAGUCUUCCCUUUACUGGGCCGGAUUCGGGGUCUGGAUCAUUUACUUUGAAAAAAUUAGAGUGUUUAAAGCAGGCUAUUGCUAUGAAUACAUUAGCAUGGAAUAAUAAUCUAGGACUUCGGUUCUAUUUUGUUGGUUUCUAUAACUGAAGUAAUGAUUGAUAGGGAUAGUUGGGGGUGCUAGUAUUGGCCGGUCAGAGGUGAAAUUCUUGGAUUCGGUCAAGACUAACUUAUGCGAAAGCAUU
Molecule: ribosomal RNA, 322 nt
Filed under: uncultured Rhogostoma
Lineage: Eukaryota; Cercozoa; Thecofilosea; Cryomonadida
Description: SSU rRNA
Rfam family: Eukaryotic small subunit ribosomal RNA (bases 59-322)
Source: RNAcentral